Long non-coding RNA from Ananas comosus (pineapple), 2219 nucleotides. RefSeq lists it as uncharacterized. The transcript is spliced from 6 exons. The record is from RefSeq and is a predicted model, not a curated record. NCBI's taxonomy places the organism in Eukaryota, Viridiplantae, Streptophyta, Magnoliopsida, Poales, Bromeliaceae.
CGAAUGGAUUGGGUCUUUAGCCCAUACGACGACGCUGCUGAGGCUUCCAUUUGACGCUCUCUCUUCCCGCUCAGUCCUCUCAUUUCCCCUCCGAUCGCUCGUUUCCUCGCUUUAGUCGUUCCCCCGAUUCCUGCAUCGACAAAACCUUAGAGCGAGCCUGUGCUUCUCCUUCGAUCGCUUGAUUCCUCGAAUGGAGAAACCCAAUGGCGUGCCCUCCCUUGCUUUUCUGAUCCCCGAUUACCUCUCGCCAUUGGUGGGCGAGGUAUUUCCCUUUGGAGUUAGGGUUCGAAGCGAAAGAGUACUUUCUUGCAGACGGAAAAUUAUUGCAGUGAGAUGAGAACGACAUUCAAGAGACUCUGAAUGUUCCGAGACGAGAUCAGAGAGGACACCAUUGCGCAGCUAGAUGAAUGUAUCAAACGUUGAACGCCAGCAUGGAUAAGACGAUCAACCUGGCGGCCAUUUGUACCCCUGCAGAAUACAAUACCCACCUACUGGAUACCAUAUACAGCAAUUUCUUCAAUGCCCCUCCGGUGGUUAAGUAUUGCUCUGAAAACAACAAGCGGCUCAUUCACUUCUCCACUUGUGAGGUGUUGGGAAGACUAUUGGAAGCUUUCUCCCAAAGGAUCUCCCUCAGCGAGAGGUGCGGGUGCGGGUGCGGGUGUGGGUAACCUGCUAGAAUAACAUGCUACAACAUCGUCCAAUGACGUGCUUACAAUUAAAUUUGUCUGUCUUAAUUUUAACUUUUAUGUUGACAAGUGUUUUUUAGAUUAAAACAUGUGAUAACUCAUUUGUCAUGUGGACUAUAUAUAAUUAUUGAUAGAUGGUUCUUACUUUACACUUGAAGUGUAACAAGUUACUUGUCUCUCACAAUUGGCAUUAUAGGGUCUUCUCUUCUCUUCUCUUCUCUUCUCUUUCGCUUUCUUUCCUUUGGUUGUUGGUCUACGGAAGUGUUUUUCAAAGCUCUUAUAUUGAAGAUAUGGGUUAUUUCUUUGUUUUUUUAUUUCUUUUGUUGUUUCUUGAUAAACGGUAUAUUUCUUUCGUUAUUUCUUUUGUUGUCUCUCACAUUCUUUUCUUAAUUUACAGUAUUUCGGUACUUACCGAAGUCUUAUGCAUACUAUCAAGCAGGAAUUCUACAUUAGUAGGAUAGGUCAUUGUUCUCUGACUUUAUUUAUGGAACCAUUCCGUAUUUGUUAUUAUUUUCUUUUCGUUUCUUUUUCCCUUCAUGUUGUUAGGCAUUUAAUCAUCUAAUGCUUUAAAUUAGGCCAAUCUGUAGUUUCAUCUUUAUUUUUUGUUUCUCUUUUUUAGUAUGUUUUUUUGUUCUUUCUAUCAAUUCUUUAGGGCAAACCAAAUCAUUAUUUAACCAAUUAUGAGUUUUGCAGCACACAUUUUCUUCCUUUUCUUUUAUCUUUUUUUUUUAGUCGUAUAUGUUUUCUCUCAUCUAUCAGCCUUUCUUUUGCUUCAUUUUUUUCUUUUCUCCAUUUCUUUUUCUUGUUACUUUUAAUUAUUUCUACUCUAUGAAUGUUUGUUUUGUUUCUUAUUCUGCUAUUACUGUCUUUGUAUCUUUGUGGAUCUUCUUUAAAUGUUUAAUAAAUUUUUUUUUUAGUCAUUACACCAUUUUACUUUGCUUAUUUUGUGUAGGUUGUGUUAGAACUACAAAGUUAUAGUCAAAUACACAAGACUGCAAUUAGAGGAGUGGUAAGUUGCUUGUGCAAAGAUUGUGUACCCGUCUGCAGCUCCUACUUGAUAUUAUAUGGGCUUCUCAAAUUGCCUGAGAACAAAGAAUGUGCUGAUUGCAGAGCCAAGUAAUUAUCCAGGAUCAUGUUGUUCCUAUUCUUGUUAUACACUUCGCUUUUCCUUCCAAACUUAGAGGAACUCCAUAUUUUUAAGGGUAAACUUCAAAUUGCCCCUUGUGGUAUAGCUCAUUUUUACUUUGCUAUCCCGCAGUCUAAAAAGUUUCGCUUUGCCCCACUUUGGUUGAGAAAAAUGUGUUAAACCACAGAGGAACAAAGUAAAACUUUUUAAACCAUGAGGUGACAAUAGUGAAUAUGAGCUAAACCACAUGGGGGCAAGUGAAACUUUUUAAACCAUGACGUUGCAAAGUGAAAAUGAGCUAUACCACAAUGGGGCAAUUUGAAGAUUACCUUAUUUUUGAGCUUGAUUUUCAACAAUUAUUUCAUAAUAUUUUUUAUGCUAUUUCCUUAUGCAUUUGUAUUUCAAAA